This 484-nucleotide ribosomal RNA is filed under the name Campylopterus villaviscensio. RNAcentral's name for it is "partial 12S ribosomal RNA". It matches the Rfam family "Bacterial small subunit ribosomal RNA", at positions 779 to 1453 of the family's 1533-position model. The record is from RNAcentral. Lineage: Eukaryota; Metazoa; Chordata; Aves; Apodiformes; Trochilidae.
UAGAUACCCCACUAUGCUUGGCCCUAAAUCUUGACACUUCCUCAACUAAAGUGUCCGCCUGAGAACUACGAGCACAAACGCUUAAAACUCUAAGGACUUGGCGGUGCCUCAAACCCACCUAGAGGAGCCUGUUCUAUAAUCGAUAACCCACGCUACACCCGACCGCUCUUUGCCCGCUCAGCCUACAUACCGCCGUCCCCAGUCCACCUAUCCUGAAAGAACAGCAGUGAACACAACAGCCCUAACCACGCUAAAAAGACAGGUCAAGGUAUAGCCCAUAGAGCGGAAGAAAUGGGCUACAUUUUCUAACUUAGAAAACUACGAAAGAGGGCAUGAAAUUUCCCCCAGAAGGCGGAUUUAGCAGUAAAGUUGAAUCACAACGCCAUCUUAAAACUGGCCCCGGGGCACGUACAUACCGCCCGUCACCCUCCUCGCAAGCUACCACCCCGAGUAAUUAACGCGCACUCCCAGCCAAAGAUGAAGU